RNAcentral lists this ribosomal RNA (439 nucleotides) under Clostridioides difficile. Its description in RNAcentral is "partial 23S ribosomal RNA". It matches the Rfam family "Bacterial large subunit ribosomal RNA", at positions 834 to 1280 of the family's 2925-position model. The record is from RNAcentral. Lineage: Bacteria; Bacillati; Bacillota; Clostridia; Peptostreptococcales; Peptostreptococcaceae.
CGAGCCCGGAGAUAGCUGGUUCUCCCCGAAAUAGCUUUAGGGCUAGCCUCAAGGUGAGAGAUACGGAGGGAGAGCACUGAAUGUCCUAGGGGGUAUUGCACCUACCGAAGACUAUCAAACUCCGAAUGCCGUCAUCUUAUACUUGGGAGUCAGACUGUGGGUGAUAAGAUUCAUAGUCGAAAGGGCAACAGCCCAGAUCGUCAGCUAAGGUCCCUAAAUGUAAGUUAAGUGGUAAAGGAUGUGGGAUUGCACAGACAACCAGGAUGUUGGCUUAGAAGCAGCCACUCAUUCAAAGAGUGCGUAAUAGCUCACUGGUCGAGUGAUCCUGCGCCGAAGAUUUCCGGGGCUAAAACUUACUACCGAAGCUACGGCAUCAGUAAUGAUGGGUAGGGGAGCUUCCCAUACGGGUUGAAGCAUGACCGUAAGGACAUGUGGACAG